RNAcentral lists this long non-coding RNA (773 nucleotides) under Homo sapiens (human). RNAcentral describes it as "HSALNT0207423". The record is from RNAcentral. Lineage: Eukaryota; Metazoa; Chordata; Mammalia; Primates; Hominidae.
CGUGUAAGAAGUGCCUUUUGCCUCCCACCGUGAUUCUGAGGCCUCCCCAACCAUGUGCAAUUGCACAGGCCCAGGCUGAAGAGGAAAGACAAGAGCCGCCCUGCCCAGAAACGUCCACAUGUGGGUACUGCAUUCCUACCGGUGUGACAGCUUGAGGCCCCCACGCCCGUCACAGUGGCAGGUGUAGCUCCCUGGGGAGUUCACGCAGACCUGCUCACAGCGGCCCUGCAGACACUCGUCCACAUCUGCCAGCCAGAGGGAAGCGGCGGUGAGCCGGGGAGGCCUCUACGCUGUCCCGCCGUGGGAUCACACCGCGAUUGCUCAAACCACACGCAAGGUCCUGCCAUCAGAGGAGAGCUCGAAGCCGCUGUGGCAGGAACAGUGGAAGCUACCCGGCUUGUUGUGGCAGAUCUGGAGGCAGCCCCCGUUCUCCUGGCUGCAUUCGUUGACAUCUGGGAACAAGCACAGGCCUGAAGGGGAGCCCAAGGGUGCACAGCCCCUGGCUACGGAGGAGGCUGCAGGCCAGGAGUGACCUCUGGGUGCCGAGGACAGACAAGGCCAGGCCAGAGCUGGCCACUCCUUAGCAAAGCCCUCCCAGGCCACCUGUGGGGUAGGAUUUGCCAAAGGGGACAGGCUGGCCUGCUGGGCUCUCCACUAUGGGUCUCCACCAGGCCCUGGAGCUAUUCUUCCUCCAGGGUCUUCACUGACACCACAGGUCUACACUGAAGGACGGUCAGAGGUGAAAUCUCCCCCCGGCCUUUCAAUCAGUGGGU